RNAcentral lists this ribosomal RNA (253 nucleotides) under uncultured bacterium. RNAcentral describes it as "partial 16S ribosomal RNA". It matches the Rfam family "Bacterial small subunit ribosomal RNA", at positions 524 to 776 of the family's 1533-position model. The record is from RNAcentral.
UACAGAGGGUGCGAGCGUUGUCCGGAAUCACUGGGCGUAAAGGGUGCGUAGGCGGCUCGGUAAGCGUGUGGUGAAAGCCCGGGGCUCAACCCCGGGUCUGCCGUGCGAACUGCCGGGCUCGAGCACAGUAGAGGCGGGUGGAAUUCCGGGUGUAGCGGUGGAAUGCGUAGAUAUCCGGAAGAACACCGGUGGCGAAGGCGGCCCGCUGGGCUGUUGCUGACGCUGAAGCACGACAGCGUGGGGAGCAAACAGG